AAGGUUUCCGUAGGUGAACCUGCGGAAGGAUCAUUAGUGAAUAAACUCGGGUGGGUUGUUGCUGGUCACCUCGGUGGCAUGUGCACACUUGCUCAUUGUUUCAUUCCUCCCCUUCCACCUGUGCACUCAUUGUAGACCACACUGCCAUCUAUCAGGCAUGUCCUGGCAUGAGGACCUGCCCCUUGGGCUGUCCUUGGGUGGUGUUGGCCUAUGUUCUCAUCAACCCCUAUUGUAUGUGAUUGAACGUAUGACCGGGCUCUUCAUAGACCCAUAAACCUAAUACAACUUUCAACAACGGAUCUCUUGGCUCUCGCAUCGAUGAAGAACGCAGCGAAAUGCGAUAAGUAAUGUGAAUUGCAGAAUUCAGUGAAUCAUCGAAUCUUUGAACGCACCUUGCGCUCCUUGGUAUUCCGAGGAGCAUGCCUGUUUGAGUGUCAUUAAAUCCUCAACUUCAUCUCCCUUGUGGAUGAAUGGAGUUGGAUGUGGUAGUUGCUGGCUCAUCGUCAGCUCUUCUCAAAUGCAUUAGCAGGGCCGCCCUAUGCAAGGCUGCAGCUUGGUAUUGAUAGUUGUCUUACCAGGCAGUGGCCGAGUGAAGUGCUCAGCUUCUAACUGUCUCGCUGUUGAGACAAUAAUCAUGACGAUUUGACCUCAAAUCAGGUAGGACUACCCGCUG
Molecule: ribosomal RNA, 673 nt
Filed under: Pluteus ephebeus
Lineage: Eukaryota; Fungi; Basidiomycota; Agaricomycetes; Agaricales; Pluteaceae
Description: eukaryotic LSU rRNA
Rfam family: 5.8S ribosomal RNA (bases 284-437)
Source: RNAcentral